GACACCAUAGCUGAGGGGGUACAGUAACGGACUAGAAAUCUGUUCUCCUUUGAGAAUGUAGACAUAAAAUCUGCUCACCUUUGGGAGUGCAGGUUCGAAUCCUGCUGGUGUUU
Non-coding RNA from Russula dissimulans, 113 nucleotides. The record is from the annotation of a GenBank genome assembly. Lineage: Eukaryota; Fungi; Basidiomycota; Agaricomycetes; Russulales; Russulaceae.